Long non-coding RNA from Polypterus senegalus (gray bichir), 376 nucleotides. RefSeq lists it as uncharacterized. The transcript is spliced from 4 exons. The record is from RefSeq and is a predicted model, not a curated record. Lineage: Eukaryota; Metazoa; Chordata; Cladistia; Polypteriformes; Polypteridae.
UGCCUUGCCCUGACUGGUGUGAAAGCGCACGCGCGCGCGCGGUGGGGUUGGACGGUGUCGCCCCACGUGGCCAGUGCAGUGUUCCAAAUUGGCCUGCGUUCUUGAGUUUGGCCUGUGGUGGACUGGCACCAUGUCCAGAGUUGUCUCCUACUUUGUCCCUGAUGCUUCCAAAGUUAAUUGGCCUUCUAUGGAGGUGUGCCCUGCAAUAGAAUGGAAAUCCGGGACAGAAUCUGUUCAUGCCCUGCACCAGGUGCCGCUCCGGAGCUCACUGCAGCCCUUAAAUAGGGUUGCCACCUCCUUUGUGCCCAUUUCCCUUCUCACAACCCUGUACUGUGAAAAUCAAUUGAGAGAUUUUUAUGACUGUGAGCUCAGACAU